Molecule: RNA transcript, 3622 nt
Organism: Frieseomelitta varia
Lineage: Eukaryota; Metazoa; Arthropoda; Insecta; Hymenoptera; Apidae
Gene: tow
Gene name: rhoGEF domain-containing protein gxcJ
Exons: 5
Source: RefSeq, a predicted model, not a curated record
UAAAGUGGUUAUUGUGCAUGCAAACGUUCGGCAGGUUUUCGUAUUUCGAAGCAAGUCGCGCAAGUUCGAUCAUCGCAGCCGUUUGGUCGGCGUAUUUCGUCAAAAUACGGCUGGAAGCCGACACAUCCUCGCUUGGUAAACAAGACAAGUUCCAAGGCCCGGAGUCGAUAUUAUCGCGCUCGAUAGUAGAGCAGCUCUAACGACCUGCCUACGUGAUCGUUGUCCCGUCUAUAAAAGGGUCGUGCCUCUCUAGCAUCAGUGUCUGUCUCUCGUAGCGAUUUCACGUGCGAGCGUCGUUUAUUCUCGAGCGUUGUUAGAGAACGCUGUUUUCCAGUAAUUCUUCUCUAUUUAUAUCUAUUUAUCAGUUACUGUUAAUCGGGAAUUCAUCGUUAUAAAUACCGCAAAGAGUGAGGUUAAGAGAACCGGCGCGCAAGAGACCAUCGUCCAAUCGGUGACAGUGAAUACAUGGUUCUUACUCUGCAUCGAAACAUCGGUGCCGACAUUUCGCUUGGAUUAGAGGGCGUUUGUCCUAGCAGGACGUCGGAUUUUGAGAAACAGAAGGGGGCCGCCAGGAUGUGGCUAAAGGUGCUCAGGCAAAAUAUAUCGCAUUUUGCCCGUAGGACGAAAGGUUCUGCAUCUGUAGAACAAAAAAAUGGAAACGGUAGCACGAAGAACAACAAAACGAAUAACAAUGGGAUCGAGGUGAACAGAAAUGAGGAACAAAAUGGUUCUGGCGAGCUCAAGAGCCAAGCCAAGAAGAAGCCAAAUGCACCUGGAAGUGGCCCUCUGUUGCAACAAGCAGAGAUAUCCACCAGCCAACUUGACUUCUUCAAGAUGCUCGAUGAAAAAAUUGAGAAUGGACCAGACUAUGACGAGAGUCUUGACACAACUACCAGAGCCGAACGUGUGUCAAACCUCCUCCGUCAAUGGGAGCUAGCAAGCGUGACCUGGUCGAGCGUGUCCGAUCUGAACAAUGCAUCCCCAUCGGUGAUGAAGAAUCGUAAUUCAGGAUUGAACUCAUCCCGGCAAAGUCUAAGCGCGAAAGAUAGAGAGGGAAUGAGGAACAUAGUCGGUGGUAGACCGGAGAGCGCACCAAUUUACAUGAGAAACGCAAAUCGCGUAGAUGGUCUCCAAGAGACUCACUGCCCAUCGCCAAGUAUGCCGAGGCACGUGUUAGAGUCCAUCACUCAGAGUCCAACCCAGAGCUUAAAAAACGUCACGCCGCCUGGCUCCUCUCCAACGAGCCUGCAUUAUCAAGAUAGUUAUAAGGAAUGUAACGCUAAUCAACCAUCCGCAAAGACCGUAAAGGUUCAUUAUGGUGCUCAGAAUCCUGUGAAUGGAGAAUACGUGACACAACAAGCGCUCUAUCGCGAACAGUAUUUGCAACAAACCGGGAUAAUCACGGUACCCUCUCAAUAUUCGGCCAGUUCGCCGGGUGGCAAUGUUCUUAGAAACAAUCCAUACGUGCAACAAUACCAAAUCACCAGUCCGCAACACUUUACCACCUCGAGGAAACGAGGCUUCAACGCCGCCCAAAUGACGUGACCGGAUUGGCCGUGCACUACCAAAUAAGACUGACACAACACUUACUUAUGUAGACACACUUUGCGAAUGAAGAGAGAGAGAGAGAGAGAGAGAGAGAGAGAGAGAGAGAGAGAGAGAGAGAGAGAGAGAAAGACAUAUUAUCCGUUGAACCAAUACUCCGUUCUUUGUAAUUCAUGUAAAUGAAACUUUUUCGAUGUAUAUAUAUGUUUAUAUUAUAUAUACACACAUAUAUUUUCAUUCAUCCAUGUUUCAUUUUCUUUUUUAAUCGGUAGCGUCUUUACGUACUAUUGGUAAAUGUAAAUUUCUAUAAGGGAAAAAGAAACAAAAUAAAAAAAAUAUAUAUAUAUAUAUAAAAGAACCACACACGCAAGCGCGAAUUUCGCUACAGCGUUUUGUAUAAUUGUGUAUUAGCAUAUUCCGAGAUAUAUAUACAUCGUAUGUACAUGUGUAUACAUUUAUACAUGUGUCUAAAUUGACGGAAAAAAGAGCAAAAUGUAGAAGAAAAAAAAUAACAAACGUAGGGAUCUUACUUAUAUCGUGUAUAGAUUCACUGUAUGUAUUGUAUGGAUACAUUUAACUUAAUGUAAUAAUUGUAUAUUUAUAUGUUGACCAUGUUCAAAGUUAACGAUAUAUAUAGUUGAUGAUGAGAGUUUUAUAUUUCAUGUUACAAAUAUGCUCUAUAUUGUGAAAUACACUAUUCGAAAUCGCUGCAUCAUCGUCAAACUCGGAUAAUUAUAUUUUGUUCCGUUGAGCAAUUCUUUUUUUGUUUUUUUAUAAAUAAAUUCAUAACUUUUCCCCAAGAAUUCAUGUAGAACUCAUUCGUAAGAUUUUAGUAUCUUUUGAGGAAACUCAAAAUAUAUUUUAAUAUGUAUGUUUAAACAAAUCAAGACUACUAAUUAUAUAUAAUGUGGUUUGUUUCUGUAAAACCUUAGAAACUUAUUUAUUGAGAACAUAAAAAAAAAAGAAAAAUGAAAUGUUGGUUGAUUUAUAUUGAUUUGUGUGUAAAAUGUGAAGUAAGAUUUUUAAUUCUUCAAAACUAUUGACAAGCAGUUCAUGUAUAAUCUGAUUUAACACUUGACUAACAAGAUUUCAUUGUUCUGAAACCUCUGUGCUACAAAAUCUAAAGGUAUUUAUGUUACAACAUGAAUAUCUUGUGUAUGAAAAUCUUGUUUAUAACAUAAACGUGAUGCAGUUUUAAUUUGGCUCAAGUUAAAAACUUAGAUUUAGAUAGUAGGUAUGCAUACAAAUUUUACAUUCGAUUGCAUUCAAAUACAUUCUAACUGGUAAUUUAAAAAAUUUGAUUUUACAUACUUUUUCUUUAGUAAAGGGUGUUUUCUUUAGUGAAGCGUCCUAAUUAAAUGGAAUUGCGUUUAAAUUUAUUUGAAAUGUAAUGUAAUUUCUAUAUUUUAGUUUGAAAAGUAAAAAUAUUUUGUGAAAAUUAAUUUAAAAAUCCAUAGACAUUGAGUUGCAAUUGCGAUUUAAUCCGGGAACAAUUUUAUGUGGAAUUGAUAUAUUUUAUGUACUUUCAUAAGUAGUGGUUAGUAAAUAGUACAUAAAGUAUGUGACUAAAACCAAUAUUGAAAAAUACAAAAUAAGAAGCUUAACUUUCUUAAUUGUAUUAUCAUUGACUAAGGACAGAAUACACCUACAUAACAUACAUUGCUUUUGUGUUCUCUAUGUUUUGGAUUGUUUUUUGUGCCCUAUCUGAUCCCUUUACUAUUGGUUACAAAGUAUAUAUGACCUUACAUUUUAUAGGCUUUCGCAUCAUCAUUGUGCUUUGAAAUCGACAUGGUAAAAGAUCAUUGGCUACUUAGAGCAUUCUAUGCUUAAAAGAUGGUGAAACUAGACCAAGCAAAACGAUUGUUGAUUAAAUAGUGAAUGCAUCAUAGCAUUGACUAAUUAAGAUAAAUCGAAUAUCUAAAUGUUUUUCAUGUCCCACUAUAUCUCAGAUUUUGGAAGUCACCUGACCUUAACAUUUUCGUGUCACAUUUUGUCGUAUCGAUUUAAGCAGACAUUGCAUUGUAGCGCUACUGGCGAUAGGAAUUACAAUUAAAAUAAAAAAGUAUGAACAGUGUAA